UGUUAAUAAGACACAAAACAGGUUUGC
RNAcentral lists this non-coding RNA (27 nucleotides) under Homo sapiens (human). The record is from RNAcentral. Lineage: Eukaryota; Metazoa; Chordata; Mammalia; Primates; Hominidae.